This 135-nucleotide small nucleolar RNA is filed under the name Castor canadensis (American beaver). RNAcentral's name for it is "Small nucleolar RNA SNORA42/SNORA80 family (ENSCCNG00000001429.1)". It matches the Rfam family "Small nucleolar RNA SNORA42/SNORA80 family". Rfam says of the family: The members of this family belong to the H/ACA class of snoRNAs that guide the sites of modification of uridines to pseudouridines. Human ACA42 (SNORA42) was cloned from HeLa cells by immunoprecipitation with anti-GAR1 antibody. Its is predicted to guide the pseudouridylation of residues U109 and U572 of 18S rRNA. The record is from Rfam by way of RNAcentral. Lineage: Eukaryota; Metazoa; Chordata; Mammalia; Rodentia; Castoridae.
GCAGAUUUUAAUUAAGAAAAGAAAAAUCUACCCCCUGUGCCUCUCAUAAUGUCACAUGCCAGAGCAAACUGUAGCUCAGAACCACUGCCUGGCCUCUGCCUGUGGGCUGCUGGCACUGAAGUGGGUUGCACAGUG